This 138-nucleotide microRNA precursor is filed under the name Arabidopsis thaliana (thale cress). Its description in RNAcentral is "miR167a stem-loop (ath-MIR167a)". Its record names the gene ath-MIR167a. It matches the Rfam family "MIR167 microRNA precursor family". Lineage: Eukaryota; Viridiplantae; Streptophyta; Magnoliopsida; Brassicales; Brassicaceae. The record is from miRBase by way of RNAcentral.
UGGUGCACCGGCAUCUGAUGAAGCUGCCAGCAUGAUCUAAUUAGCUUUCUUUAUCCUUUGUUGUGUUUCAUGACGAUGGUUAAGAGAUCAGUCUCGAUUAGAUCAUGUUCGCAGUUUCACCCGUUGACUGUCGCACCC